Cervus elaphus (red deer) is the source of this 5627-nucleotide RNA transcript. It is a transcript of the gene named chromatin target of PRMT1 protein-like, with no coding region annotated. The record is from RefSeq and is a predicted model, not a curated record. NCBI's taxonomy places the organism in Eukaryota, Metazoa, Chordata, Mammalia, Artiodactyla, Cervidae. The transcript has a single exon.
GUUCUGCUGAUAUUUAUAUAGUUAGGUUCUCUGAUAUUAAAUGCAUAUAUAUGUGUGUGUGUGUGUAUAUAUACAUAAACAUUUUAUUCUUUUGAUGAUUUUAUUUAUUUAUUUAUUAUGUAAUAACCUUUGUCUCUCAUGACAAUAUUUGACUUAGUCAAUUUUGUUGAUAUAUAUGUAUUCAGCCCUAUUCUCUUAUCAUUUGUAUAGAAUAUAUUUUUCUGUCCCUUUGAACAUUAAAUUGAGAGUUCAUCUCUUGGAGGUAGCAUAUUGUUAAGUCUCAGUUUUUUAUCCAUUUAUCCACUCUGUAUUUUGAAUGGGGAAUUUAAACCACUUACCUUUAAAGUAAUUAUUGACAGAUAAGAACUACUUCUGUUUUUUUAUUGUUUUCUGACUGUUUCAUAGUUCCUUUAUCUCUUUCUUCCUUUCUUCCUUUGUAAUAUGAUUGCUUUUGUGUUAUUAUGCUGUGAGUUUUUCUCUUAUUUUGUGUGUUUACUACAGAUAUUUUCUUUGUGAUUGUAAUGAGCUUAUAUAAAAUGUAACACUGACAGUCUGUUUUAAGCUAAUAACAACUUGGACUGUAUACAGAAAUUCUAAACAUUAACUUCUCUUUCCCCCACAUUUUAUGUUGCUUAUGUCACAAUUUACAUCUUUUUAUAUUGUGUAUCCGUUAAUAAGUUCUUGUAGUCCUAGCUACUUCACCUUGAAGAUUCGCUCUCUUUAGCAUUUAUUAUGAGUUAGAACUAGUGGUAAUGAACUCCUGCAGCUUCUGUAUGUUUAGGAAAGCUUUUAUCCGUCUUUCACAGCUGAAGGACAGCUUUUCUGGGUAUAGUAUUAUUGGAUGGCUGUUUUUUUUACCCCCAGCAUUUUGAAAAUAUCAUCCCACUCUCCACUGACCUGCAAGGUUUUUGCUAUGAGAUCCACUUUUAGUCUUAAGGAGUUUCCCUUGUUUGUGACAGUUGACUUUUCUCUUAAUGCUUUGAGCAACUUCUGUCUUUUACUUUUGUCGAUUUGGUUAUAAUGUGUUUCAUUAAAGUUCUCUUUAUGUUUAAUCCAUUUGUGUUUUAGCGGCUUAGUGGAUCUGGAUGUUCAUUUCCCUCCCCAUAUUUGGGGAUUUGCUGUCAUUUUUUUUUUUUAAUAAGCUUUCUGAUUCUUUGUCUUUAUUUGCUGUUUCUGAGAGCCCCAUAAUGCAUACAUUGGUUCCUUUUAUGAUGUACCACAAGAUUUUCUUCUUUCUUUUCUUAUAAUUUCAUUUUGGUUUUCUUACAGAGUAAUUUCAAAUUACCUCUGCUCAAGCUCUCUGAUUUUUUUGUUUUGCUUGGCUGAGUCUGCUGUUUAAGCUUUCUGAGUUUUUCACAUCCAGUCAUUGUGUUCUUCAGCUCCACAAUUUUUGUUUUUCAUGAUUUCUAUAUCUUUGUUGGCUUUCUGAUUUUUUCAUUUAGUCUUUCCCUCAUCUUGUUGAGUUGUCUAUGUUCCUUUAUAGCUUACAGGACUUUCAGAUGAUUAUUUUGAAUUAUAUGUCAGGCAGUUUGUAGAUCUCCAUUUCUUUGGGGCCAGUUAUUGGUGCUUUAUCAUAUUCCUUUAGUGGUGUCAUGUUUCCCUGAUUACUUAUGAGCCUUGGGUCUUUAUUUUGGUGUCUGCACAUUUGAAAAAAUAAUCACCCCUUCUAGCCUUUAUUGACUAGCUUUGUCAGAGAAAGUGCUUCUCUAGUCUGUCCAGCCAGAGAUCUGGAUGGGCUUGCUACUGGAUUUCUUAGGCAGGUUGGCUUUGCUCAUGGGCUUGUGGGUGGGUGGGCCUGCUGCCUGGGUCCAUGGAAGCUAGCCUGGAAACCGAACCUGUCUUGGCUGGACAGGUGCCUGUGUCUACUGGGACUGCCUGGUGCUAGGUUCCAUGACACAGUGGGUGCUCAUUUUACUCUCCCUCUCCUGUGUAAAUCAUAUGUCUCUAUGCUUCACUGUGCAGGCUUGCAGGAGCAGUAACAUGGUGAUUUGAAACUGUCCCUUCUGCCCUCUUCAAUGCAUCUUCUCUUACUUCUGUGCUACACCCAUGUGCUGUAGUCUCUGACCUGGAUUCCUAGCUCUCAUGAAAGUAUUCUUCUGUGUGGAUGGUUAUUUAAAUUGAUGUUUCUGUGAGAGGACUUACGCUGAAAACUCCCAUUCUGUCAUCUUGCUGGUGUUACUGAAUGGUUUCUAUCCCUUCUGAAAUUGCAUGUUCAUCAUGUAUUCUCACAUCUUGGUGUUCACUCUCUUGAGACUGCCAAAGCUAAGAAAAUUGGAGCUAGAUGAUUUGUUUUUGUAAAAUUUCUGUUGCAAUUGUUGAGCAUUUUCUUUGGGGGAAAGUAGUAAUAUUAGUUGUAUAUCCAUUUUUUGAAAAUUGUAUAGCAUUUUUUUUAAACUUUUUUAUUUUGUAUUGGGAUAUAGCCAACUAACAAUGUGAUAGUUUCAGUUGAAUAGUACAGGAACUCAGCCAUACAUAUACAUAUGUCCAUUCUCCCUCAAACUCUCUUCCCAUCCAGAUUGAGCAGAGUUCCAUGUGCUAUACAAAAGGCCCUUGUCGGUUAUCCAUUUUAAAUACAGCGAUGUGUACGUCCAUCCCAAACUCCCUAACUAUGCCUUACCCUCCACCCUUUCCCCCAGCAACCAUAAGAUUAUUCUCCGUGAGUCUCUUUCUGUUUUAUAAGUAAGUUCAUGUGUAUCCAUUUUUUUUUAACAGCAUGGUUCAAGUCUUCCCGUGUUUAAAAUGUUUUCCUUGAUUCAUUUGCUUUUCAUUCUAAACAGCCAUAGAAAAACAAUACAGAAAGAAAUGCUGUAUUAUAAGGGCAGUGAAAUAAAAUGUUAAAAAGUUACAAAGAUUAAUAUCAGUUAAAUUAGGAGUCUAAGUUUAGUUUAAUCGUGUGUUUGUGAGAAUUAGGCCUUAUCAGCUUUGAAACAUUUCAUAGUUUUCUGAAUGAAAAGAGCUGAAUAUAAUGUUUGGUUUUUUAUUCCUUUUUGAGUUUUUUGUAAAAUAUUUUACAUAUAAAAGAGCAUAUGUGACACAUGUAUUGAGUUUGAAGACAGUGAGAUGAAGACCCAUGGCCCUAACACCUUGCCUAGAAGGCCCUUUGUAACAUGGAGUGGGAGUUGACGGCAGCGGCCGUGGUGAAAGGAAGGAAAAGGCAGGCCGGGUGAGCAGGCGGACUGGCCGACCGGACGACCAGCCGACAGCAACGGACUAACUUAGCAAUCUACCGCUUAACACAUCUAACCAACCGCCCACCAAGUUAACCUGAGCCCCUCCACCGUCAGCUCAGGUUCGGCCGGCCCCCGGCCCGCCUGCCACAGCUGUGGUGGCAGCCCCGGGAGGAGCACUGGCGUCCGUUUCCUUCGAUUCUCGGGAUUUGAAGAUGGCUGCACAGUCUGCGCCAAAAGUUGUGCUAAAAAGCACCACCAAGAUGUCUGUAAAUGAGUGCCGAUGCCAGUGAAAAUUCGGGCUUCAAUGCAGCAACAGCAGCAGCUAGCCAGGGCCAGAAACAGAAGACUGGCCCAGCAGAUGGAGAAUAGACCCUCUGUCCAGGCAGCAUUAAAACUUAAGCAGAGCUUGAAGCAGCGCCUGGGUAAGAGUAACAUCCAGGCACGGUUAGGCCGACCCAUAGGGGCCUUGGCCAAGGGACCAAUCGGAGGAAGAGGCCUGCCCGUUGUCCAGAGAGGCUUGCCCAGAGGAGGACUUCGUGGGGGACGUGCCACAAGAACCCUGCUUAGGGGCGGGAUGUCGCUCCGAGGUCAAAACCUGCUCCGAGGUGGACGAGCCGUAGCUCCCCGAAUGGGCUUAAGAAGAGGUGGUGUUCGAGGUCAUGGAGGUGCUGGGAGAGGGGGCCUAGGGCAUGGAGCUAUGGGUCGUGGCGGAAUCGGUGGUAGAGGUCGGGGUAUGAUAGGUCGGGGAAGAGGGGGCUUUGGCGGCAGAGGCCGAGGCCGUGGACGAGGGAGAGGUGCCCUUGCUCGCCCGGUACUGACCAAGGAGCAGCUAGCUGGACAGCCAGUUGGAUGCGUACAUGUUGAAAACAAAAGGACACCUGGAUGCUGAGUUGGAUGCUUACAUGGCUCAGACAGAUCCAGAAACCAAUGAUUAAAGCCUGCACACCCUUCUGUAAGACUCUUGUUCAAGUCACACAUCUGUAAAUAACCUUAAGAUAACAGAUGAGAAGAAAGCUGAGGGAUACUGAAAGGACCUAUCAUAAUAGGCUGUGGACUGACUUGCCACAAGUUUGUGCGUUUAGUGUGUUCCUUUUACUUUUUGAUACUAUGUUGUAUGAAACCCCUUUUUUCCCCUCUGAGUGGGGUUUUGUUUUGUUGUGUUAUUUGGUGGGGAGGGGUUUCCUUCACCCAGACUUUUCUUUGAACAUGAAUGUGUUGGCCUUGUGGCUAGUACACCUUCUUCCCCCAUCUGCCUCCACUCAUCUGUCAUAUGCUUUGACAGUCUUAACAUUUCCUCUGCUCAUUUUGGUGCCCCAUGAAAAAGUCCCAGAAAGCCCACCAGUGUUCACCUUAAUGUCUAAGUCUCUGAGAUAGAAUUCUGUUUUACGUCAUUUUUAAUAGCCUCUUUAAAAUGUUCAGAAAAUCUGGAGCUCAUAAAUGCAUUCUACCACAAAAAAGAAAAAAAAAAAGUCCCUUUGUGCGCCUCCUCAAAGGCUUUUCCUCGUAUUAAUUGUUUUUAAAAUACUUCUCCCAUAUGUGUGUCUUUCUGAACAAGGUACUUAGUUUUUCAUAUGGAUUCUGCACUAGUUUUCAUGAAAUCUUACAGUACUAAGUCAUCCUUUAUUUUGUCAGCACACGUUCCUCUGCUUCUGGGGAGAGAAAUAGACCCAGUGAGCCUUGCUUUUGCACUUCUUAUUAAGGCCUGCAGGUGGCAGUUAAGUGACUUAAAUUGAGGUGUUAGAAUUGGAAAGAGAUCGGACUGCAUAUAAGAACCUGCAAUUUGUAGAUUUUUAAGCUCUGUAUCGAGAUAGACUCAAGAUAAUUAUAAAUAUCUACCUACCCACACUUCAUUUCAGAAACUUAAGGUUUUGAAACCAGCAGGUAAUGUAAAAAUAUAUCUUAAAAUGGCAUCAUGCAGGAAAUCCCAGUAGAAGGGGGCACUGUGCUGAAAGAAGGUUGGUGUGACCUUGGUUCAUUACUGACCCCCUGUCAUCUGGCCACGGGGCUUCCCUGGUGGCUGGCUCACUUGGUGAAGAAUCUGCCUGCCACGCAGGAGACUACCUGCAAUGCCGAAGACCCGGUUUCAAUCCCUGGGUCAGGAAGAUCCCCAGAAGAAGGAAAUAGCAAUACACUCUAGCAGACUUGCCUGGGAAUCCCAUGGACAGAGGAGCCUGUUGGGCUAUAGUCCAUGGGGUCACAGAGAGUCAGACAUGACUUAGCAGCUAAACCACCACCAUCUGGCCAUGUUAGGUUGGACCUCUAUCCUGUCUUGUCUGAGAGAGUGACCUAUAACUUGUAAAGCAAAGGAUUAUUUAACAAUCCUAAUAGCAUAAUUGACAGUUUUAUGAUUCAGCAUUUAAGUGAGUGUUGAAUUAUUUAUGAAUUAAUGUGGUUUUCUAAAGGGCUUUAAUUGUUAUAUAAGAAUUAAAGUCUUUUUGCUUCCUGAUUCAUUUUCCU